Molecule: long non-coding RNA, 3189 nt
Organism: Gallus gallus (chicken)
Lineage: Eukaryota; Metazoa; Chordata; Aves; Galliformes; Phasianidae
Exons: 4
Source: RefSeq, a predicted model, not a curated record
AGAGCUAGAUGAUUAGCACAGUAAAUCACUGCCUGAGUAAUGCUGCAUAAACAUACAGCGCUUACGAAUUACCCAGGAACAGUAUCAGGGAUGGAAUACACAACUGAGGCUACGAUUCCACCACUUUUCAGAUUUAAGGAAGGAAUAAUCCCUGCCAGCUUCACCUCCCCAAACAUUGGAGGCCCAAUCUGUACUAAGAACCUCCACGCCUUUGAGAUUCAUAGAAGAACAGGUUUCUUAUCCAGAAGAACCAUGCCUUCACUAGGUAAGCCAAAAGAUUUCACUUGGUAACUUAGAAAGCCACCAUAUGAAGAAAGCUGGAACAAAAUGCACAUAAUCAGAAAUACUCUACGGUGUUAUUGCUUGAUAUUAAUAUAAUUUGUAUUCAAAUUUACCGCCCCUCAAGAAUUGUAAGUAAUAUAUACUUUUUUGGUUCUUUAAGCCAAAUGUGAGAAUACAUGUUGUUUGGGUUGAAAAUAUUAUUUGAUUUGUUUACUUUGUGUAUUUGACAUUACUUUGAGUAAUGUCUGAUGGUGUUCUUUGGAUAGUUACCAGUGCCAUUUUAUUUCUAUACCUUGAUUCACGCCAUCUGCGUUGUGGAAAAAAAUCACAAUCACAUAAAUGCUGUUCUUCCCCAGACUACAGACCAAAUCUGGCUCAUCAAGAGCAGACAUCAGACUGAUAAUUAAAUUGGUAGUUUAUACCCAAUGAACAGCCAUGGAUAAGGCAAACUAAUGUUUGAAUAUGAGUCUCAUUGGCUAACUCAUUUUCCUAACUUGCUACAGAUAUGAAUCUGAACAGGAAAUCUUUGUUCCACUUUGUAGAUGAUACAAUUUCUACUGGCAUCAGCUCAAUUGUAAGAAGAUGAUAACAGACCAUUGUUGCAGGCUGAGCUGAAACCACCUGUCUUUUGGCUUAGCUAUAGAUGACCUCAAAAGGCGUCAAACCAAACCAGAUUAACAUUCCACUGCAUAAAACGAAGACUUAGGCAAGCAUGUUUGAAUCAUCUGUCAAACAGCUUCUCUGGAUUGUAUGAUAAAUUCUGUUUACGAUAUAGAGACAAAUGAUGCUCCAGGCAGAGCCUGAACACUCUUGUUCCAAGAAGAGCUUGCUAUAAAGUUUCAUGGGUUCUAGGUGAAACACAAACCUUGGAGGAGCUAGUAAAGUCUUCUUAUGUCUUGAUCUCUCCAACACCCAUGUAGGAGACUUUGCAGUCUUUGUGAUGGAGAAUAUUGCAUUAAAGAAUCUCCUUUUUCCUUUACCAACAUCUCCCUCUCAUGCAGCAAUUGCUAACACUUUAAAUUUCCCUUUCCCUCUUAUGAUUUUGGGAAAAGAUCAUAUAAUCAAAUCCACUAGAUAAAUAUGAGAGAAUUUUAUGCCUGAAGUGUAUACAGGCAAUUUACUAACUUCCCUUUGGAAGUGUGCUCUCCAUAAAGAAUUAAGGAUAAAAAUUUUCCAGCCACUUUGAAAGGGAAUGAUCAAAAUCAGAAGCAGCACUUACCAGAAUUGAAAAAUACUUUGCUAACUCUUGAUUUUGGCAAAUAAACUACACUACAAGCUAUAAGUGAAAUAUGUGAAAUUUAACUCUCAGUUCCAGGCACGUGAGAAGUUCAUUCUUGAAGAAAAAAUGAACAGAUACAUGCCACAGAUACAGUACUUUGUUUUCAACCCUUUCCUGCUUGCUUUUAUAACUUGUGUUUGUUUUGACGUGUGAAGAAUCGCUUUGUCAGGUUAUAGCGUUCUGCAGGUAGACAACAGCAUUUGCCCUAUUUGUUUCUAUACAUCUUGAUGAAUUACAGACAAAACAGACACGGCGUGCCUGGUUUGAUACUGUGAUACAGAGUAUAAAAAAAAUCAUACCACCAUUCUUAGUGGCUGUUGUUAAAAGCAAUAAUAGAUUGAUUUACAUUUUGUAACCGGAACAAGAAGUUUGUUUGGAUUAGCAUUAUAGUAGAUGAAAACUGUUUUCAGACAUUGCAGCAAGAAGCUUUACAAUGUAAACAUAAAGCACACUGGGCAGUUCAACUGAAAGGUAUUUAUACCUAAGCUCAGGAGAACAGGAUGAAAAACAUUGGUGUAGUCCUUAAAAUGGGGACUAAAGAGGAACUUGAAAUAUUGUUCCCUAUUUAAUACUAUUGUGCCUAUCUCAUUGUUUUCUCACAUGUGAUAUCAGGACUGCAUCUGAAAAACCUACAACUGGUUAGCAACUGUAAACUCUUUCCGUUGUGCACUGUUGCACAAAGAAGGAAGCCAGGACUUUGGGCCUUUGAGCCACCAGCAGCAAAUAAUCCUGGUACUGGUCUGAAAUGCUGAUACUUAUUAACAGUGAGCAAGGGUCUGCCUCUAUCCCUGAGCAGAAAGAGAAGCAAGCAGUAGAAAGAAUACAAAGAUGAAAAACCAGGUGUUGUGCUUCCCUCCAUGGAAACAGACAGGGACAACAAAUGUACAGUUCAUGAGCGAGAAAUGUAGCACUGAUGUAAUGCAACAACCAAGUAACACAACUUUCAACCUUUCAAUCCUUGUCAAGAGCCUUUCCACCAACAUAUUAAAAGUGAAGGGUUUUUUCUUUUUUUUUUUUUCUUGUUUUCUUCUUGUUGGCUGCUGAGUAUUUUAUUCUUUGCUGAGCUUUUAUUCUUUUGGAAGUCUGCCCAAGGGGAGGAUUACUCUAGGGCAUGGGUGUCCAACAUUCUGGCUUGCCUAGGCUGCACUGAGUGAAGGGGAAUUGUCUUGAGCCAUGUAGAAAAUAUAAUAUAGUUAAUUUACAUGAGUAGCAAAUUUUUAUUAUUAUUAUUAUUAUUAAAAUAAAAAAAAAGUGGGCAACAAAGACAUAAAAUUAGUGGGUUGGUAUGCUCUAGAGAAUCUACAAUAUACUAUGGCACAUUGGCAAGCUCUGUGCAUACUGAGCUUCAGGGAAGUACCUUAAGGUACCAGCUCUCUAAACCAUAGUUCCUGAUCAUGCUUUUCACAACCUUCUACUCAGAAGUUACAUGUUAUGAUUCCUGGCAUUUCAGGAAAGGCAGAAAAUAAUCUAGUGAGGGAAGAGAAAUAAGAGUAUCUAAGGAAUACAAAGAGACUCAAAAUCAACAGUGUUGAUGCGCGCGCGUGCAUACACACACACACACACACACACACACACACAACUAAAGAACAGUUUAUUAAAACAGUGGAGUUGUGUUAUUUACCUUCUCU